Long non-coding RNA from Oncorhynchus keta (chum salmon), 264 nucleotides. RefSeq lists it as uncharacterized. The transcript is spliced from 3 exons. The record is from RefSeq and is a predicted model, not a curated record. NCBI's taxonomy places the organism in Eukaryota, Metazoa, Chordata, Actinopteri, Salmoniformes, Salmonidae.
UAUCAGGUAUCUGCUGUAUAGAUCCAAUGUGUUCCUAUUGGUUUGAUAUCAGGUAUCUGCUGUAUAGAUCCAAUGUGUUCCUAUUGGUUAGAUAUCAGGUAUCUGCUGUACAGAUCCAAUGGGUUCCUAUUGGUUUGAUAUCAGGUAUCUGCUGUACAGAUCCAAUGUGUUCCUAUUGGUUUGAUAUCAGGUAUCUGCUGUACAGAUCCAAUGUGUUCCUAUUGGUUUGAUAUCAGGUAUCUGCUGUAUAGAUCCAAUGUGUUC